UCCCAAAACCCGGGCGCGAACACAAACACCAGGUGUGCUGGGACCAAGUCUCACACAUAUGAUGCAUAGUGGCACAGGAUCGAAUGUCACAUCUUUACUAUAUAACAGGAGUUCUGUACAAAAAUAAUUAGAUAAUUACAUCAUAUGAGGAAACGAUCCAGCAACCCGAAGUUGACUGGGAGACGACGGCCUAGAUCUCUCGUGAACUCAUCACAUCAUCCUCCAUGCGCCUCAUCCUGUGGUACCUGUUCUUGACCUGUGGGGGGUGUGAGACAGCAAGAGUGAGCUCACAUACGUUCAUCGCUCAACAAGUUGUGGGGAAUAAUGUGAAUGAACUCGCCAAAGGUGGGAGUUCAUGUGAAGUGUAAGGCUUACCAAAGAGGAUGGUUAGAGCUGAGCAUUGCUUUUAAAGUUGGUCAAAAUUUUAUUAGCAAUUACUAAGUAUAAGUAAAUACCAACCCAAUUAAAUAGUAGAACAAAAGUAAUAACAUCACCUGCGAUGCAAUGCAUAUGACAAAUUGAGUUUAAGUUCCAUAAUUUAAUCAUCAGAGAGUCCUGAGCUGCUCAUGACCGUGAGCUCGGCUAGUAUACCAGUUUUACACUCUGCAGAGGUGGUACCCUUUACCCACAAGUCAUGUUACCCAUCUGCCAAGGGAUCGCGACUUCCCAUACACCUCUACCGAGGAGGCGAGGCAGGGUAACACUACGAGGCCUUUACAAAGUUCCACUAGCUUCAGAAAACCCGCUACAGUUUAUAGGAAGCUCCAAUGCAGGAAUCCCUUGCAGGACCGCCAUCGCAGCAAAAUCCUCCCAAGGGCCUCCCUACACUGACCACUCCCCUACUGCCCUUGCCCCUUUCGGGUAAGGUAGUCCUCCACUAGCUUUCCUAAUUAAUCAGCCAAGGGCGUCCAUAAACCCUUUUGGUGGCACGUGUUUCUCAAGUUAAGCUCUAUGUUCCAAUUAACAUUAAUGAUCUUGACAUGAACAGUAAAUAACAACGGAUAACAAAAGUAUAAUCAUGAAUAAUGUGUAUCUCAAUGCCCAAAACCACAUAUAGCACUAGCAAGUACUACCCAAAAAGUUCAGUGGUAAACAAGGCAUAAAGAUAGACGAACUAGGGUAACCUAUUAGGUCCCAUCAAAAUUAACCUAUGCAGAUCAUUAUGAUUAAUUAGAACAUGAGUGGGUAAAAGAAGUGAUCAAGGGCACAACUUGCCUGAGACUUGAGAUUCCUGGUACCAGGAUGAUCUUUAGGUGACACGUGUCCUCACGCUAGUCGUAGCAUUACAAACAAAUAGUGUAUAGGCAAAAUUAACAUUACACCAAACAUAAGAAUACACUGCAUAAAAAUAAUCUACGCGAAGCUACGAGACUAACGCAACUUGAACGGAUCAAAUCGGAGUUAAAACGGAGGAGUUAUGAUUUUCUGAAGAUUCUAUGUGUUUUGUACAAAAUUAAAUAGGAUAUAAAUUUUAUUGUGACUUUCAUGUCAAGACAGCGGUACUAGAUGAUAGACAAUAAUAUUACACAAUUAUAGGAAUUGGAACGGAUUAAUUUGGGCUUAAUAUGAAUUUUCUAUGAAUUAUACAAGUUUCUACCAUUAUUUUCGUAUUAAAAAUGAUUUUAAAAUGAAUUUCCCUGAUUUUAUUCGCUAACUGGUCGGCGCGUCAAAUUCAGAGAAGCCCAGGGGCUAACACGUAAAUUUUCUAAGACUCAGUGAACAUCGCCCAUGGACGGCGGGUUCUAAUUCUAGCAAGUAGAGGGGCUCUAUAGCAAAAUGGCACCGCGAAGGGGUAUCUAGGGUUCUCGGCCGUAGGAUUAGAUAUGGACGGCACGGAUUAAAUUAAUCUUCAUCCGAACCGGUACGGAUUGCAGUCCACAGGAUCGAGAUCUGAUGGUUACAAUUUAAUGAAACGCGAUCUGCUUCGAGCCGUAGGAUAUCAGAUCUACGGUCAGCCCUAAGGGACCGAACCGGUACGCCCAACAGCCAUGGGAUCUAGAAUAUACGGCCUAGAUUUAAUUAACUCAGAUCCAACCAUGUUCGUGGGAUAGAAAUCUAACAGUCCGGAGCCAUCCUUCCUAUAGUUCUGAUCUUGGUCGUCAGCGCGGAGAUCAACGGUCUGAAGGCUUCGUCUUCUUCCCGGAGACCCGCCAUGGCCAGGAACUCCAUCGCGACAGCGCAGGCGCCAGCGCAUAGCCUAAUCCGCCCACCCCGUAGCACAAUUCGACGUUUUGACCGAGCCAAACUAAAGAGGAAACAUUAGCGGCCACGCGUGCAGGGCACUUACCAACAAUGGAGGCGACGACUGGGUUAAUUUUGGCGAAUGGCGGCUUCCUCCCGGUGGUCGGAUGGCGGCACGCGGCCCGGUGGCGAUUUCUCCUCCGAUGAGUAAUUGAAACGGCCCAGAGGGUCCCCGGCCCUGACCCACGGAAGUCGCGUCGAGCCGCGCUAGUCUUCUGCAAAGAGAUGUCCCAGAGUUCCCCCUUGCACACGAUCUCCCACGGUGGGCAUAGAAUGGGUAGUGGCGGCGCGGCCCGCCCUGCGACGAUGAUGCGUUUCUAGCGGCGAUUGGGACCUAAAUGUCUAGUGGCUAGGCACGAGGGAAUGCGGCGGAGAAGCAAGUUCCUAAAUAGCCGAGCGAGGCAGGGAGGCGGAAACGGACCGUACCGGCCAUCCGCGAUUCUCCCAGGAAGCUCGGGGAUUCUGUUACAAGGGAGGAGAUGAAGCUGGCGAAAGGGGGCCCACACGGCAGCGUCUCCUAGGUAAGGCUGGGCCGCGGGAGUAAGUCUGGUAGAGUGGGCCGACAGUGCCAGAUUUGGCCCAAGCGCGGUUUGCCCCUUUUUCUAUUUUCUCUUUAUAAUUUCUAUUCCAAAUUUUAAAUUUCUAUUUCAAAUUCAAACAUGAUUCAACUUUGAAUCUCAAGCAUAAUUCUAAUGGGUACAGAAAUCCUUAUCUUCAUAUUUAUUAUUAUUUUUAUUACUAUUUUUUUAUUAUUUAUCUUCCCCCUUACCAUUUAAUUCUAAGAGAAAUAAAUGAUUAUUACUUUUCUCAAGUUCUUUCCUAUAUAUAUAUUUUUUUAUAAGUUGAGGUCAAAUUAUAUUUUUAAUAAAAGGAAUCACUCAAAAUUAUUGGUAAGAACUCAACCUCUCUUUAUCUAUUUAUUAGUUACUUAUCUAAUUUUAUAUUAUUGCUUGAGUACGAGGGGGAAUCCCUAAUAGAUUUCAAAGAUCUUCAAAAAUUCUCAUCACACUAUUAUAUAUAUAUAUUAUCUCUUUAUUUUUUUCUACCAAAUUUUGGGCUUUACAACUCGCGAGCUUCGGGAAAAUGCAACGGCGGCUCCGCUAUAAUUCACCGGACAUGUCGGGUGUACACCGGACUAUCCGGUGUAACUGCGGGGCAACGGCUACCUGCAACGCAUUUAUUGCGCGCCAGCGCGCGCAGAAGUCAGGAACGCCCAUACUGGCGCACCGGACACUCUACAGUACAUGUCCGGUGCGCCACCGGACAUCCAGGCGGGCCCAGAAGAUAGUGCUCCAACGGUCGAAUCCCAACGGCUUUGGUGACGUGGCUGGCGCACCGGACAUGUCCGGUGUGCACCGGACUGUCCGGUGCACCAUGCGACAGGCAGCCCCACCAAACGGCUAGUUUGGUGGUUGGGGCUAUAAAUACCCCCAACCACCCCACAUUCAAGUCAUCCAAGUUUUCCACUUCUCAACCACUUACAAGAGCUAGGCAUUCAAUUCUAGACACACCAAAGAGAUCAAAUCCUCUCUAAUUCCACACAAGGCUUUAGUGAUUAGCGAGAGAGAUUUGUCGUGUUCUUUUGAGCUCUUGCGCUUGGAUUGCUUCUUUUCUUUAUCACUUGUUCUUGUGAUCAAAACUCCAUUGUAAUCAAGGCAAGAGGCACCAAUUGUGUGGUGGCCCUUGCGGGGAAGUUUUGUUCCCGGUUUUGAUUUGAGAAGAGAAGCUCACUCGGUCGGAGGGACCGUUUGAGAGAGGGAAAGGGUUGAAAGAGACCCGGUCUUUGUGACCACCUCAACGGGGAGUAGGUUUGCGAGAACCGAACCUCGGUAAAACAAAUCCUUGUGUCACACUCCUUAUUUGCUUGAGAUUUGUUUUGCACCCUCUCUCGCGGACUCAGUUUUAUUUCUAACGCUAACCCGGCUUGUAGUUGUGUUUAUAUUUGUAAAUUUCAGUUUCGCCCUAUUCACCCCCCCUCUAGGCGACUAUCAAUGUUGAUCACAUUGUCUUCAUCGGGGUUAGUGGCUAACCCCCUUAACAGGAGCAUUGAUAUGUGCUUGUUGAAGAUGCUGCCGACUCUGAUUUUGACUGAUAGAGAGAGGUUGGAGGUUUCCAACUAGACAGGUGCAAGAGGGAAGGGUAUAGAUAGAAAAGGCAAGUAUGGAUGGAUUAAAGAGAGAAAAGGGGGAACACCCACUACUUAACUUUAUGGCACUCAGCUAGUAAACUGAUGUCAUUGCGGACCAAGGGCCACAACACAUCAACACUCAUCACAAAGAAGCAAAUCAGUCAUAGCAUAAAGACAAACAUCACAAGCAUACAACAACAAACAUCUGGUUGCUAUACGUUAAUGUUAACUAGAUGGUGGUCUUUCCUUACAAAGGGAAAACUACUCUAGGGCCAACGAAAGGCAAGGGGAUAAUAAGACAUGCAUGAUAUGGGCAUGAGCACAAUAAGGGAUGGAGUUAAGACAAGACCUGCAAGUGGAAAGGAAGAGGAUAUGUCCAAGGACCAGAUAGGUAAAUUGCCACUCUCUCAAGUUGAGGUGGAAGAGAGGGAAUUUUUAAAAAGUAGGAAUAAAGAUGAGUAUCAAGGCAAAAUCGAUGGAUGACAAGGUGAGGGUGAUAGCAAAUAAAGCACACAACAAAUGAUGGAAUUAAGACAAAGCUUGUAAGGCGACAAGGAGUGAAAAGAAAUCGAGGGAGGCAUAGGUCACUCACAAUUCUCAACCUGGGUUGAAAGAAAGGGGAGGCUCCUAAAGGAUAAGUUCAAGGUAAGCGUUUAAGUAGAAGACCUAAAUAUCACAAGGGUCAAAGGCAAUAACGGACAAGGGUAUAAGAGAAAAGAUGAAGGCAUAGAAGAGCCAGUGAUAUUAGUACAACAAAGAAUGGAGGUAUGUCAAGGCUUACACGCGGCAAAGAAGGGGAUAUUGCCAAGGGUAAGAUAAGUAAAACACCGCUCUCAAAUUGGGAUAGUAGAUUGAAGAUCUUAGAGAACGGACAUAGUGUAAUCACCAAGGUAAGAUUAAGAGAUGAGAAAGGUAAAGGUAAUACCCAACUGGAGCACGGCCAAGGAUGGAGUUAAAACUCGCAAGCGACAAGGAAUAGAAUACGACCAAGGGAAAAUAGGUAAGACACAACUAUGAAAUUGAGAUGGAAGAGAGAAGGUUUUAAAGGACAGGUAUAAUAUAAGCAUCAAAGUAAGAUGUAGAGGCGAUAAGGGUAAAGAUGAUAAUCAUGAAAAGCAUAAACAAGGAUAGAGUUAAGGCAAGACUCGUGAAGUGGCGAAGUGGAGAAAGUAAUCAAUGGUAAGAUAGGUAUGAUUCCAACAGAAGGGUUGAAGUAAAAAUUCAUUACCCAAGGAAGUUAUAAGGAAACAACGAGAUCACCAAGGAUGUGCAAAAUAAAAUGACCGCUCAUGGAUCAUCGAGAAAGAAGGGUGGUCAAGGGCAUGUAAAAUGAAAUAUCUUAAACAGACCUUGGGAUGUAAAGGUAAGCAUAAAAAGGAUGAGAGUAUGAAAGAUUUCAAGGAGAUGAGCAUACCAAUACCAAGAGUCAAGAAAUUGCCAAAAGAUAGCGACUUAACAACAGAAAAGGAAAAGGUCUCAAAAGACAGAAAGGUCAUGAACAUAUAAACUGAAAUGUUUAAGUAGGCAGUAGAAAUUUAGAGGCAAGUAUUUGAGACAAGGGUAUUGAGGAAUCUAGGGGUAUGGGCAAGUCAAUACCAAGGGAACAGAGAUGGUCAAAUGGUAGCAAUUUAAUAAUGGAAGAGACAAGAAUCCCAAAAGGCAAUAAGGUUAUGGUCAGGGGCAUCUACAAAGAUGUCGCAAGCACAAGACUAAGAUCAGAUCUAAUAGAUUGUGAGAAGUAUAGACCAUACUAGAAUAAAAUACUUUUGGCAAGGAGAUAUAUAGGAGCACAACAUAGAAUUAGUCGGUAUGACUAAUAUUUUGAAGCAGAAGCAAGGAUGGGGUGAAGUAAUAAUCAAUAAGUACUUAAAGCAGCCAAUGCUACUCUAGGUCAGCGGUCCUACAGUCAGCAAGGCUUUGAUACCACUUAUGUCACACCCAGUUUUGGAAGGUAAACCGAAUACCAACCAUGUACGUGCCAGGAUCAGAAAUUCACGUACACAGUGAUUACAUAAAUGACUCAUCAUAGCAAAAUGCUUUGAAUAACAAUAAAGAGUAAGUAAUAAUAUGAAAUACUAGAGUCAUUUACAUAAUAUAAUCAAAGUACACAGAAUAGGAACGUAGCCAACGUAAAUUAACCCACCACAGGCAGCUGACUGGGGGAGGUCGCUAGCCUAAUUAUCGAACUCGUCAAAGUCCUAUAACUCCUGGAGAUCUGCCUCGACGCCUUCUUCUUUACCUUAGCAUAGAUUGCACCAAGGGCAACCUGGUGUUUUGUGAAAGCAAGGGUGAGUACACAUCAACGUACUCAUCAAAUGUCCCGUUUGGCUGUAGUGGACUAGCUUUAUUUGGAGUUAAGGUCAAGUAGUUGCUUUUAGUUGGUCAGGUUAUUAUUACUAAUAGAGAGCCAGGUUUUAACAUUAACCCAAGUUAUUAACCCAAAGUACCCUUUCCAAACGGAAAGGAUACCACUUACCAUUACCAUAGUCAUAACCAUCAUCCUUGUCACCACCUGUAAACCAACCAUCUCUGAUCAAGUAUCUCUAAUCAAAGAGGAUCCCAAGGCCGCUCAUAACCGUGAGCACAGCUGAUAUAUCAGUUUCUAACCCUCUGCAGAGGUCGCACACUUUACCCACAAGCCGUGAUUCCCAUUCUGCCUAGAGAUCAUGACUCUCCAUUGAUCACUACCAAGGUGACCUAGCAGGGUCUCACUACAUAGCCUUUACAAAGAUUUCCCAGAGGUCAUAGCCGCCCGUUAGGUUUCUCUAGUUUGAUAAACACAGUACAUCUCCCCAAAGGAAGGGUGACUAACAAAACCAAAUCAAGAACCUCUGCAACCAGCCUCGGCAAAGCAAGUACUGUGCCCAUACCCCAUUCACGGCCCUACGGCGAAGCCAACUACUCCUCUGGUUCCUCUAAUUAAUCAGCUAAGGGCGUCCCAUUCCAUCCUCAUGGUUGCACUGUUAUCUCGGGUUGUCACUCCCCAAACAGGUCCUUACGGAGAGGUACUCAGGAAAAAGGCCUGAGCCCCCUAGAGUAUCACAAUAUCAUCAUUGGGAUAACAUCAUCGUAUCAUAAUAUUCACAUCAUGUUCAUUGAUUAAAGUAAAGCAAUAGCAUAAAGCUAACCAUGAUAACCCAAAAUGAUAAACAAGGAUAAGUAAAUAGAAAGCUAGUCAAUCCUUAUGUUUCAAUUAAGUAAUGCAGGACAAUGAAUUAUAAGUAGAUAGGACAUAAUGGGUCAGAGGACACUUGCCUUCACCAAACAGAUGCUCAGGGUCUUCAACCAUGUAGAACUCGAAGAGCCAGAUCACUUGGUCGCCAACGCUUGAUCUUUGAUCCCUCGAAGCUUGAAAACGGAUCGUAGUCUAUUCGCGAUGUGCAACAAAUACAAACAGCCACAAGCAAACAAACAUAUAUAAAUGCAUAAGAACAUUACACCAUACAGGAUAAAGUGUUAUAAAAACAUGCAGCAUAAAAUAGAGCUCGAUUCUAUGGUCACGCGAGGGAAAGAAACGUCGAACUCGAAACUACGGUUAAGAAGUUAGUGCGUUAACGUUAAACAAGUAUUAACAAUAACUUUUAGUUCAAACAUAAUCAAGUAUAAAAAUAUACAUCAGUUAGUUCGAUUAAUCUGCUACACUAACAAUGUUUGUUAAUUAAAUAAUUUAAUUAAAACAAGAGAUUCCAAGCGAGAUGAAUUUAUGACACGUGAAACAGCACGACAGCGUGCAAAUAACGCGCGGACACGCGCGACAUAGCACGUUGACGAUACACGAAACAACGCGAACGCGCACGAAUCAGCACGUCGGCGCGCGCGGAACAGCACCCGUGACAGACGAGAAUAAUUAAACAGGUGACACCUUUAUACUAAAUGAAUGUUAAAUAAAUAGAAAGUAGUUAAAUUAAUAUUAUCCAUGUUAAUAUUUAUUAUAAAAGCCCAAGAUAGACACUACACCCUUUAAUCUGAUUGGAAUAUUAAUCUAAUAAAUAUUAGUCGAGCAAUCCUUAAGUUAGUUAUCUAAAAUAUGAAACCUGACAAAUUAACGUUAUUAACGUGAGUGUUCAUAAGCGAAAACAAUUUAUUAUCACGAGAAGACGUCGUGUGACCCGCGUCAUCGACACGCGAGAUAUGUGCGAACGAUGCGCAGCAAGGCGAGCGACAUGUGUAAGUGGCACACGCGACGCACGUAAACGACUUGUGACAACGCGUGCGAACCGCACGCGUGACACGCGCGAACGACACGCGACAACACGAGAAUAACGCUUGAUCUAUACGCACGAACAACACGGCGACGGCGAGCGCCACACGUGCGAACAGCGCGUAGAUAGCACGCGACAUGCGAUUAUCACCAGAUUAUAAUUAGAUGUGCAAAACUAUAUUUCUAAGUUGAUUUUUAAUUAAUAUAAAUUAUUUACUAGAACAUUUUUGAUAAAUUGAAUUAACAAUCAGUCAACGAUUAACAAGAUCUCAUUACUAAUUAUCAAUGAUUAAAGCGAAAUGAUUAACUAAUGUGUGCGGGUCGCGUGCGCGAUGUAGCGCGAACGGACGGUGACGACGCGCACAGACCACACACGCGAAAGGCAACAACGACACGUGUGAACGGCACGAACGUGCGCACGCGCAGGCGUAGACGGGGAUAGACGGGAGUCGUCUAGGAGUAGACGAACGUCGUCUAGGGGGUAGACGGACGUCGUCGGGACCUUGACGACGCGUUGUGCGUGCACGAAACAACGCGCACAACAGCGCGCGACACGCGCAAGUCAACACAACUACACACGCGAAUAGCACGCUGACGCGCAAACGAAAACUACUACAUAGAUGUCGCCUCUAUACUAGACAAGUAUUAAACUUAAAACAUUUGUGUAGUCAUUAAUCACACUAUCAUAUAUUUAUAAAGCGUAAGUUAAAAUGAUAAAUUAGUUAUUUUAAAUAACUAACAGGUAAAUAAUUAAUUCAUUAAUUAAAUAAAUAUGUGUCGCGACAAACAAUGUUUCUAAUAUGAAAUUGACGCCGCUAGAGUGGACGUGACCGAAUGAGUUACGCCGCAAGAGACUUAAUACAUUUAAACCUCUAAUGAACUUAUAAACAACGCGAUACACGGGUACUGCUAAAUUAUGUCGUAUUCAUACUAAGCGUUAAACACGACAUUUAAGUUGGUGUACACACACUAACAGGCAUCUACAAACGCAUAAUUAAAAUCAUUAAUUAGGUUUGAUUGAAUUGUUAUUUUAAUAAUACACAACAAAACAAGUAAUCAAUUAUUUAGCGUGAACGAUAUAGCGAAAUGAUUUUACUAAAGCGCGCAAACAGCGAUUUACGCGAACGACGACGAGCACGGACAGCAUGCGAACGACGCAUGACGACACGUGCGACAUCCCGUGAAUUGCGCGUAAAUCAGAUGUGCUACGCGCGGCGCGAAUCAUGCGACAGCGAUGGAGUUUUGCAUAUGGUUUGGACGAGAGGCCUUACCACAGGCGGACGGCGACGAACGUCAUGGGCUCGACGGACGAUGGCGAGAUGCGACAACAACGACGAGGCGAGGCAUGACAUGACGGGAACGUGCAGGGCGGCGCUCAGCGAAGUGGGUGACGAACGCGACGAAGCUCUAUCCCACGGCGCGGGCUGCAGGGGAGGCGCACGCUACUGGACGGGUUGCUGGGUCGGGGAUUCGGUCGCUCACAUGGGUUGGCGCGGAGGCUGCACCGGCCGGCUCGGACAGGGGCUCGCGCGUGUAGAGGGCAGGGGUAGCUAGCCGGACCGCGCUGCCGACCGCCGUGCCGGGCUGCCGGAUGCCGCGGUCGUCACCUGGCUGGCCUCGGCCGUGCCUGGCCACGCCGGCUAGGCGGUUGGGUGCCGAGUUCUUGCGUCGCGGGUGGGAGAGAUGGUUGAAGGAGAGGAUGGGGGCGCAC
Molecule: long non-coding RNA, 10281 nt
Filed under: Zea mays
Lineage: Eukaryota; Viridiplantae; Streptophyta; Magnoliopsida; Poales; Poaceae
Description: long non-coding RNA (ZMAY_LNC001480)
Source: RNAcentral